UAUUAUUAAAAAACCAAGUCGCAAAACAGCCCAACAAAGACAAAGAAAUAGGCCCAAAUAUAUGACCCAACCCAGCAAAAAGACAGGAGAUGCUCCUGAAAAGAACAAAACAGAAACAGCUUCCAACUUUAAUUGCUUCUCUUUCCAAAGCUCCAAAACUGUUCAUCUGCUUCCUCCUUCGCUCCAGAUCCCUCAUCUCUCCGAUUUGCAUGACAGAAUACUCGCCCAUCAGACAGGCAAGUUACGCAAUCGGUCCCUCUCGACUUCCUCUUCCACUGUUCUCUUUGCCUCUUAUUCCAGUAUUGGAAACGCAAAUCUAUCGUACUUCUCUUCUAAACAGAAAAAAGUAAAAAUUACUGGUAAAGCAUUGGAGCUCGGUUAAGAACGGAAAAUUUGAACCUUGAGUUAGUGGUGUCCCAGAAAAUACCAAUUUCAUCCCCUUGUUUUAGUUCUCUCCUCUUCACAAACUGUGUUAUCCAAUUCUUGAUAAGCACGUUUGCCCCAUUUUUCCAUCUUUUGAACUUCAUCUCAUGUUCGGUGCGGGUAUCGCAAUCCCAAAUUAAUACGGGUAAACCUUCUUCAAUUUGGGCUAGCUGAUCGGCGUUCCAAUGCGAUAAAAUAUGAGACUCCACCAACUCCGAUGGUAAUAUCAGCCUUGACAUGUUUCCGAGAUCACUUGUGUAAAGCUUCUUUUUGAUGCACCAUGGAUCAUCAUGAUGCCUCACUUGAGUCGUUUAUGAUGAUUGUUACGUUCACCAACUUCAAACCCUGGGGGUUUAUUCAUUGAAAGAGACCAUUCUAACGAGCUAUCGGCAUUGGAUGUAAAAUUAUCACUCGUAGUUGCCAAAGUAAGGGCUUCAUUGAUAUUCAGUUUAUAAUGAUUGUUACGUUCACCGACUUCAACCCUUUGGGGUUUGUUCAUUGAAAGAGACAAUUCUAACGAGAUAUCAGCAUCGGUAGCGUCUAAUUUUCUUGUAUAUUGAUCAUUGCUUUCUUUGUAGCAAAUCGCUUGUUUUCUCUCAUCAGUUUUAGUGGACAUAUUAUCAACGGAAAUAGACAGCUCUAACGAAAUUUUGGAAGUGACGACCACGACGAAAGAGACAACUCCAAUGAAACAUUGCUCUCUUUACAAUCGGGGACAUCCAUGUAAUUCAAAAGAAUACCAGGCUUGUCAUCUUCGUUUGUUUUUGGUUCCGGUUACCGCUAAAAGCCUUGUUGAAUGGAAAUUUAUAAAAAAGAAAACAGCAAAAGGUUAUUUCUUGCAGGUGAAUCUCAACUCUAACUUUCUUGAAAAUAUAUCUGAGUUUAUAUAAAGAUCUCGAAAUAAAUUUGAAGUAA
This is a long non-coding RNA of Gossypium raimondii (Peruvian cotton), 1338 nucleotides long. RefSeq lists it as uncharacterized. The record is from RefSeq and is a predicted model, not a curated record. The transcript is spliced from 3 exons. NCBI's taxonomy places the organism in Eukaryota, Viridiplantae, Streptophyta, Magnoliopsida, Malvales, Malvaceae.